RNAcentral lists this ribosomal RNA (497 nucleotides) under uncultured bacterium. RNAcentral describes it as "partial 16S ribosomal RNA". It matches the Rfam family "Bacterial small subunit ribosomal RNA", at positions 28 to 507 of the family's 1533-position model. The record is from RNAcentral.
GAUGAACGCUGGCGGCGUGCCUAAUACAUGCAAGUCGAGCGAACAGACGAGGAGCUUGCUCCUCUGACGUUAGCGGCGGACGGGUGAGUAACACGUGGAUAACCUACCUAUAAGACUGGGAUAACUUCGGGAAACCGGAGCUAAUACCGGAUAAUAUAUUGAACCGCAUGGUUCAAUAGUGAAAGACGGUUUUGCUGUCACUUAUAGAUGGAUCCGCGCCGCAUUAGCUAGUUGGUAAGGUAACGGCUUACCAAGGCAACGAUGCGUAGCCGACCUGAGAGGGUGAUCGGCCACACUAGAUCUUAGACACGGUCCAGACUCCUACGGGAGGCAGCAGUAGGGAAUCUUCCGCAAUGGGCGAAAGCUUGACGGAGCAACGCCGCGUGAGUGAUGAAGGUCUUCGGAUCGUAAAACUCUGUUAUUAGGGAAGAACAAAUGUGUAAGUAACUAUGCACGUCUUGACGGUACCUAAUCAGAAAGCCACGGCUAACUACGUG